RNAcentral lists this ribosomal RNA (248 nucleotides) under uncultured bacterium. RNAcentral describes it as "partial small subunit ribosomal RNA". It matches the Rfam family "Bacterial small subunit ribosomal RNA", at positions 26 to 278 of the family's 1533-position model. The record is from RNAcentral.
AGGACGAACGCUGGCGGCGUGCUUAACACAUGCAAGUCGAGCGGAAAGGCCCUUCGGGGUACUCGAGCGGCGAACGGGUGAGUAACACGUGAGCAACCUGCCCUUAGCUUCGGGAUAGCUCCGGGAAACCGGAAUUAAAUACCGAAUAUGACUGCGGCUGACAUCAGCCACGGUGGAAAGUUUUUCGGCUAGGGAUGGACUCGCGGCCUAUCAGCUAGUUGGUGAGGUAACGGCCCACCAAGGCGACG